Non-coding RNA from Beta vulgaris subsp. vulgaris (sugar beet), 146 nucleotides. The record is from the annotation of a RefSeq genome assembly. NCBI's taxonomy places the organism in Eukaryota, Viridiplantae, Streptophyta, Magnoliopsida, Caryophyllales, Amaranthaceae.
UCGGUUUCUGGGUCAUAAUCAUAAGAUUAUGUAGGAGAGAUGGCCGAGUGGUUUAAGGCGUAGCAUUGGAACUGCUAUGUAGGCUUUUGUUUACCGAGGGUUCGAAUCCCUCUCUUUCCGUACCUUCCCCUAAUUCACUAACGUUA